RNAcentral lists this long non-coding RNA (1200 nucleotides) under Ornithorhynchus anatinus (platypus). Its description in RNAcentral is "lncRNA (ENSOANG00000046509.1)". Lineage: Eukaryota; Metazoa; Chordata; Mammalia; Monotremata; Ornithorhynchidae. The record is from RNAcentral.
UGCUGGGCACCCAGUCAGCCCUUAAAUGUUAUCAUUAUUAUUAUUCUAUCCCAAUGCUUAGAACAGGGCUGGGCACCCAAUCAGCGCUUAAAUGCUAUCAUUAUUAUUAUUAUUAUUCCAUCCCAGCGCUUAGAGCAGUGCUGGGCACCCAGUGAGCACUUAACAAAUGCUAUCAUUAUUAUUAUUUUAUCCCAGCGCUUAGAACAGGGCUGGUUACCCAAUCAGCGCUUAAAUGCUAUCAUUAUUAUUAUUCUAUCCCAACGCUUAGAACAGUGCUGGGCACCCAGUGAGCUCUUAAAUGCUAUCAUUAUUAUUAUUUUAUCCCAGCGCUUAGAACAGUGCUGGGCACCCAGUGAGCUCUUAAAUGCUAUCAUCAUUAUUAUUGUAUCCCAGCGCUUAAAACAGGGCUGGGCACCCAGUCAGCACUUAAAUGCUAUUAUUAUUAUUCUAUCCCAACGCUUAGAACACUGCUGGGCACCCAGUGAGCGCUUAACAAAUGUUAUCAUUAUUAUUUUAUCCCAGCGUUUAGAACAGUGCUGGGCACCUACUGAGCCCUUAAAUGCCACCGUUAUUAUUAUUAUUCUAUCCCAGCGCUUAGAACAGUGCUUGGCAACUAGUGAGCACUUAAAUGCUAUCAUUAUUAUUAUUAUUCUGUCCCAGCGCUUAGAACAGUGCUUGACACCUAGUGAGCGCUUAAAUGUUAUCAUUAUUAUUAGUAUUAUUCUGUUGCAGUGCUUAGAACAGUGCUUAGUACCUAGUGAGCACUUAAUAAAUGCCAUUGUUAUUAUUAGUAUUUUUCUAUCCCAGCGCUUAGAACAAUGCUUGGCACCUCCUGAGCGCUUAAAUGCUAUCAUCAUUAUUCUAUCCCAGUGCUUAGAACAAUGCUUGGCACUUACUGAGCGCUUAAAAGCCACCGUUAUCAUUAUUAUUAUUAUUCUAUCCCAGUGCUUAGAACAGUGCUUGGCACUUAGUGACCACUUAACAAAUACCAUUGCUGUUAUUACUAUAGAGAAGCAGCGUGGCUCAGUGGAAAAAGCACGGGCUUGGGAGUCAGAGGGCAUGGGUUCUAGUCCCGCUUCCGCCCCUUCUCUGCGGGGUGAUCGUGGGCGAGUCACUCCUCCGGGCCUCGGUGACCUCCUCUGUAAAAUGGGGAUGGAGAUCGGGAGCCCCUGUGGGACAGCCUCAUCACCUUCUAUCUAG